GAUGAACGCUGGCGGCGUGCCUAAUACAUGCAAGUCGAGCGAACGGACGAGAAGCUUGCUUUUCUGAUGUUAGCGGCGGACGGGUGAGUAACACGUGGAUAACCUACCUAUAAGACUGGGAUAACUUCGGGAAACCGGAGCUAAUACCGGAUAAUAUUUUGAACCGCAUGGAUCAAAAGUGAAAGACGGUCUUGCUGUCACUUAUAGAUGGAUCCGCGCUGCAUUAGCUAGUUGGUAAGGUAACGGCUUACCAAGGCAACGAUGCAUAGCCGACCUGAGAGGGUGAUCGGCCACACUGGAACUGAGACACGGUCCAGACUCCUACGGGAGGCAGCAGUAGGGAAUCUUCCGCAAUGGGCGAAAGCCUGACGGAGCAACGCCGCGUGAGUGAUGAAGGUCUUCGGAUCGUAAAACUCUGUUAUUAGGGAAGAACAUAUGUGUAAGUAACUGUGCACAUCUUGACGGUACCUAAUCAGAAAGCCACGGCUAACUACGUG
This 497-nucleotide ribosomal RNA is filed under the name uncultured bacterium. RNAcentral describes it as "partial 16S ribosomal RNA". It matches the Rfam family "Bacterial small subunit ribosomal RNA", at positions 28 to 507 of the family's 1533-position model. The record is from RNAcentral.